UACGGAGGAUGCAAGCGUUAUCCGGAAUCAUUGGGCGUAAAGCGUCCGUAGGCGGCUUUUCAAGUCUGCCGUCAAAGACCGGGGCUUAACCCCAGAAAGGCGGUGGAAACUGAAUAGCUAGAGUGCGGUAGGGGUAGAGGGAAUUCCCGGUGUAGCGGUGAAAUGCGUAGAGAUCGGGAAGAACACCGGUGGCGAAAGCGCUCUACUGGACCGUAACUGACACUCAGGGACGAAAGCUAGGGGAGCGAAUGGG
This 253-nucleotide ribosomal RNA is filed under the name uncultured bacterium. RNAcentral describes it as "partial 16S ribosomal RNA". It matches the Rfam family "Bacterial small subunit ribosomal RNA", at positions 524 to 776 of the family's 1533-position model. The record is from RNAcentral.